AGUGAACGCUGGCGGUAGGCCUAACACAUGCAAGUCGAACGGCAGCACAGUAAGAGCUUGCUCUUACGGGUGGCGAGUGGCGGACGGGUGAGGAAUACAUCGGAAUCUACUUUUUCGUGGGGGAUAACGUAGGGAAACUUACGCUAAUACCGCAUACGACCUACGGGUGAAAGCAGGGGAUCUUCGGACCUUGCGCGAUUGAAUGAGCCGAUGUCGGAUUAGCUAGUUGGCGGGGUAAAGGCCCACCAAGGCGACGAUCCGUAGCUGGUCUGAGAGGAUGAUCGCCGACACUGGAAGUGAGACACGGUCCAGGCUCCUACGGGAGGCAGCAGUGGGGAAUGUUGGGCAAUGGGGGCGAGCCUGAUCCAGCCAUACCGCGUGGGAGAAGGGGGCCUUCGGGUUGUAAAGCCCUUUUGUUGGGAAAGAAAAGCAGCAGGUUAAUACCCCGCUGUUCUGACGGUACCCAAAGAAUAAGCACCGGCUAACUUCGUG
This 492-nucleotide ribosomal RNA is filed under the name uncultured bacterium. Its description in RNAcentral is "partial 16S ribosomal RNA". It matches the Rfam family "Bacterial small subunit ribosomal RNA", at positions 29 to 507 of the family's 1533-position model. The record is from RNAcentral.